Molecule: long non-coding RNA, 2650 nt
Filed under: Zonotrichia albicollis (white-throated sparrow)
Lineage: Eukaryota; Metazoa; Chordata; Aves; Passeriformes; Passerellidae
Description: lncRNA (ENSZALG00000010393.1)
Source: RNAcentral
GGGCUGCCUGUUUGGAUCCUGGAAACUUGCAUCAAUACGUCAUUUUGUGUGACUAAAGUAAGCAGAAUGCGUCCAAAGCACUGGCCAGUUACGGACCUCAAUCUGCCUCCAUUCGCAGGCAAUGUCACUCUCAGGAAAACAGGUUUUGGGUUGAUCCAGAGGCUCUUUUCAAUGGGACUUUCAUCACUGAUUUCAUCUGACAGUGGCUCAUGCUAAAGGUCCCCAUUCUCUCUUAUAACUUCCCCCAACAGACACCAGCAGCUGAUCUCCUUCACAGACUUGAAUAUCAGAAAGCCAAAAAUCUUGCAAAUUUCUUUUGCAUCCUCAUGAUAAACUUCUCCACUCUCCACCCUCACCUCAUGGCAGUGGGGCAACCAUGAUGCCAAUAACUCCCAGAGUUCCUCUGCUGGGAGGGGAAAAAGGAAGGAAUGGGAUGUUGUGGCAGAUGCAAAAGCUCUGCACUUCUGGCAGUAUAAAACUACAUAUUUACACUGCAAAAUCCUACAAGAUGCAGCUCCAGCAGUUCAAGGGCAAAAGACAGGGAGAAUCCAGCAAACAAUUUCCUUCUUGAGCUUCAAUGCUCUCUGAUACAAUCAGGACAGUAGGAGUGAUUGACUAGUUUGGUGGACUUGAUAAAAAUGCUUUGGGAAUUAGAAGGUUUUGUCAAAGAGAAUCAGUUAGAGGAAGCAAAAAGGAGCAAUGCCCUAACCUCCUGAACUGCAUUACACACAGCUGCCUACAGCAUCCUCACUGACACAGAACAAAACCAGGAAAUGCAAGAAUGUUGAAUUCUUUGCUAUAUGCUAAAAAAUUAAUUCUUUUCACAGGUAUGUGGCAAAUUACCAUUCCUCCACUGUUUUUUUUUCUUUUUCACAGACUCUACUUUUGUAUUUCCAAUUUGCUUACUUUCUUGAAGUUCACUGAUAAUAUGUGCUUGAGUUGCUUGUAGUAACAGCAUAAAAACCUUCAUGAAAGGACAAAUUGAACGUGAUUAUGCUACUAACGAAAGUAGGGGAAUUGCUUCUGGAGACUUCAUCUACAGCUCACAGCACAACAAUGGUCCUGCUGCAGGCUGCAGGAGGAGGAGGGGAGGGACGCAUCUUUCCCAGGACAACUUUUCCAUGAGCCGUGGACCUAAGGCAAGCGUGGAUUUUAAGGCCGGGAGGUAUUUAUUUCUGGAGGAAGGAUGGGAUUAAAAGAAGAUUAAAAUGAUCAACCAUCUCCAGCAUUUCACUAUCAAUCCAGUUCUUGAUCUUCAUGAAGAAUGUAGCCUUGAAAAAAAUAUUUGCCAAAAAUAUAGAAAGCCAAAAUUUUAAUUAUUAUGUCUCUGCCUGUUUCUAAUACUGUUCACUUAGAAAACAACAUAAUGAAACGUUUCAUUACCCCUUACUAGCUGCUGAGAAAAUUCUGGAGUUACAUUGAAACAUCAAGCUUUCAAAUGACUGCAACUUCUAUCAAAUACUUCUAAAGACAACAAAAAAUGUCUCCAUUAGAAAUACAAAAACAUUUUGUGACCAAUACUCUCCCAGGAAGGUUUAUUAUAGUUCUAAAGUCAAUUCCAGCUAGUUGGGGGUUUUUUUCAGAUAUCAACUAAACCGUAUUGUGAGAAAAGUAUAAAGAAUUUUUUUUUUCCUUAGAUUUUUAUUUUAAUCACCUAAAAAUCAUUCUUAUGGAAAUGAGAAAGACAAAAAGAUUCCCCAGGGACUGAGAAACUUCACUGAUUUGCAUCAUUAACACUGAAAAGAACUUGCCUGGAAAUGGCCCCUUCACGUUUUCUUUUAUUUACAUUUCCAGACAAAUACAAAAUUAAUUUCAACAAGAAGGUUUCUUGUAGAUUCCUAUCCCAUUUUGAUUAGUCUAGCCAUUAAAACAUGAAUAUAGCUUGCUGUGCUUUGAUUUAGUCUUUGUUACACCGCAAUUCUUAAAUUUUUAAAAAUUUUUUAUUUUUUUAGUUUUUACUUCAUUUAUAAAGGGUUUGCAACAUGGGGGCUCUGAGUGAUCAUUGACUGUAUUAACAUUCAUAAUUAACACCAGUAAUUAUUAAGACGCUUUUGGAACAAUUACCAUUUGUGGCAUGGAAUGAGAGAAAAGUGACAUUCAUUUAACAAAACUCUAGUUUCCAUUUAACAAGUCUGUCCAAGCAUAAGCAAAAAUGAAAAAAAAACCCAAAUCUGAGCACACUAAAUAUAUAUUUAAAUGCAGAUAAAUUUCUAUGAUAAAGUAGUUCUUUCAAGGCUCAGAUCAAAAUUUUAAACAGUUUACCUUCUUUGUGUCUUCUGAAGAGUUUUACGUAACAAACUUUCAGUGUCAUCACUAAUAGCAGUUCAUGCCAAGGAUUACUUUCUUAAAACUGCUACUCAAGCCCGGUGAUUUGCAGUACACUUCUUAUUACAGGAUACAUUAUGCAGAAACCCUCUGCUAUGUGAUGGGACAUGGCAACCCUGCUGUGAGAAUGCCUAUCAGCGCUUCUUUUAAGGCCCUUUCUCAAUUGUCAGCAAAGUAUUUUUUAAGGUUAAAAGGUGUAAAAUUAUUCUGAAACGCUUUUCUGACCUGUCGCCUAUCACUGCAAAAAGCUAUAGUUCAUUUUUUUUCUAAAAUUGUAUUUUUAAAAUGUGAUAUUAUAAGAAUAAAGCUAGUAAGAAAAAUAUCA